RNAcentral lists this ribosomal RNA (250 nucleotides) under uncultured bacterium. Its description in RNAcentral is "partial 16S ribosomal RNA". It matches the Rfam family "Bacterial small subunit ribosomal RNA", at positions 524 to 773 of the family's 1533-position model. The record is from RNAcentral.
UACGAGGGGUGCAAGCGUUAAUCGGAAUUACUGGGCGUAAAGGGUUCGUAGGUCGGUUAUAUAGUCAGAUGUGAAAGCCCAGGGCUCAACCUUGGAACUGCAUUUGAUACUGGCAAACUAGAGUAUGGUAGAGGAAUGGGGAAUUUCCGGUGUAGCGGUGAAAUGCGUAGAGAUCGGAAGGAACACCAAUGGCGAAGGCAACAUUCUGGACCAAUACUGACACUGAGGGACGAAAGCGUGGGGAUCAAAC